AGUAAUGCGUGACCAACCUCGCCCCAUGCUCCAGAAUAGCUCUUGGAAACGGGUGGUAAUGCUGGAUGCUCCAACUUGACGCAUGUCUUGUUGGGAAAGUGUUUAGUGGCAUGGGAUGGGGUCGCGUCCUAUCAGCUUGUAGGCGGGGUAAUGGCCCACCUAGGCUUCGACGGGUAGCCGGCCUGAGAGGGCGGACGGCCACAUUGGGACUGAGAUACGGCCCAGAUCCUACGGGAGGCAGCAGCG
This 246-nucleotide ribosomal RNA is filed under the name uncultured Gardnerella sp. RNAcentral's name for it is "partial 16S ribosomal RNA". It matches the Rfam family "Bacterial small subunit ribosomal RNA", at positions 109 to 356 of the family's 1533-position model. The record is from RNAcentral. Lineage: Bacteria; Bacillati; Actinomycetota; Actinomycetes; Bifidobacteriales; Bifidobacteriaceae.